This 2061-nucleotide long non-coding RNA is filed under the name Eucalyptus grandis. Its description in RNAcentral is "long non-coding RNA (EGRA_LNC006857)". Lineage: Eukaryota; Viridiplantae; Streptophyta; Magnoliopsida; Myrtales; Myrtaceae. The record is from RNAcentral.
CCAGGCAAUGUCGCCGACCCCAUUCAUUUCUUAUUGCGCAAGCGGAAUGUACUAUAAAACCCCUGACAAUAAAAUACGGGAUAGAAAAGCAGGAAACAAUUUCACAACCAAUCACUUACACAAACCAACAGAGUUACAGACGAAGGCCUACAGCCAAGAGUCUACAAAAGACCGACUCUUAAAAAUGAAUUGCCCUACGACCUACAAGUCGGACACGUUCUUCAAUCUUAUGACUUCACCUCUGCAUCUCCUCACGGCCAACCAAAGCUAUCUGGCCGCUCCGUCCACCAGGGACCUGAAAUGGUUAUUCAAUAACCACUGAGACAACGUCUCAGCAAGUUCAACCCCCUAAACCCUUAUUAGAAAGAAAAUACGCCCCAGAGUGGUCUAGCCACACAGCACAGAAGACUUACCUCGCCUUCUUGCCUUCCUGCAGGUUAGUACAAUUCAUAUCACUCAAGCACCAGUAAUGAUAAGAAUGUAAGCCAUCGGAACACAAUCAAUUUCACUUAAUUUCACAAUCACAGCAAGCAUUCCAUGUCAUCAUUAUCCACUGCCACACAAGAGUACAGCCUAUUCGCCGGUCGACUAUCUACUAAAAUUACAGCAUUUCUAGAAGAAUAAAGGUCCAGUCGGUCUCGCCACUACUGCGACCAUGCCACGUUGUUCUAUCGACAGCAUUUCUAGAAGAAUAAAGGUCCAGUCGGUCUCGCCACUACUGCGACCAUGCCACGUCGUUCUAUCGACAGCAUUUCUAGAAGAAUAAAGGUCCAGUCGGUCUCGCCACUACUGCGACCAUGCCACGUCGUUCUAUCGACAGCAUUUCUAGAAGAAUAAAGGUCCAGUCGGUCUCGCCACUACUGCGACCAUGCCACGUCGUUCUAUCGACAGCAUUUCUAGAAGAAUAAAGGUCCAGUCGGUCUCGCCACUACUGGGACCAUGCCACGUCGUUCUAUCGACAGCAUUUCUAGAAGAAUAAAGGUCCAGUCGGUCUCGCCACUACUGGGACCAUGCCACGUCGUUCUAUCGACGGCAUUUCUAGAAUAAUAAUGGUCCAGUCGGUCUCGCCACUACUGCGACCAAGCCACGUCAUUCUCUUGACGGCAUUUCUAGAAGAAUAAGGAUCCAGUCGGCCUAGCCACUACUGCGACCCGAGCCUUUCAACUAGCACACGACAAUUCGAUACCGAUCCUUAGAUACUUUACAUUUCACUCACAUAAUCCAAUUACGAUAUUAACCAUUAACAAUCCAAUUUCAAUGCCAAACUCGACACUUGGGAUUUUCUAAAUAAAAUCCAUACUUUUCACAAUCCACACUCAAUUUAUAAUAUUCAAUCAUCAAUUUCAAAAUUCAACUACACAGCAGUGAUCGGCACGAAAUUCUGAGCAACCGGGAUCAAAAAUAAUUUUUCCGUUUUUUAUUUUUUAUUUUUUUUAUAUAAUAAUAUUUUAAUAAUUUCGGAAUAUAAUAUAAUAUUAUAAAUUUCCAGAAUUUCGAAGCAAUUAAAUAAUUCAAAAUUAAAAUCCUUUUAUGUCACAUCAAGGCUUUAUAUUAACAAUAAACAUACUUAACUUUAAACUAAACACACUUUAACUUAAUUAAACACCAUAAUAUAAUCAUCAACCAAUUAAAUUAAUUCAACCCACUAAGCUUACUUAACUUAGGCUAAACACACUUAGGGCAUCAUUAACCGUCUAAUCAAGAUUUAGUGAGUUAAACUCACCGGAUUAGCGAGCCGAGCGGACCAAAACGACGAGGACGACGCGAGGAUCGACUUUCCUCAAGGCGGGCCGAGCAUCCGGGCUCGGGAAGGCGGCCAAAACGAGCCAAACGUCCGCUGCAUACCCAUUUUUCCAGCCCUCUGAUUUGGGGCCGAGAAGGGCUGCACGGCGGCGGAUCGGGCGGAGGAAUGGCGGAGGAGGACCGGCGGGGCUUGGACGGGCGAGGCGGCAGCUCCGACGAGGCCUCACGGUGGCCGAAGGGAGCUCCGGCAGCUCCUGGAACUCACGAAUCGAGACGGACGGGGAUGGCUAGGCGCGGGCGAGCACGGGCAACGGCUGN